Long non-coding RNA from Panthera uncia (snow leopard), 2978 nucleotides. RefSeq lists it as uncharacterized. The transcript has 2 exons. NCBI's taxonomy places the organism in Eukaryota, Metazoa, Chordata, Mammalia, Carnivora, Felidae. The record is from RefSeq and is a predicted model, not a curated record.
CCUGGGAGGCCUGGAAUCCGGGCAGUUUUUCAGGCCCAAUAGACCCCAUGACAUCACAUCUACUGCCAUGGCAACGGGCUGUGAGGUCACAGGCAGUGCUGCCUUUCAGGAGUGGGGAGAACAGGUGGGAGCUGGCAGGUAGGGCCAGCGGGGGAGCUGGGGCGUCCUCAGCCCCAGGACCCACGGCAGGUUAUUCCGGGCUCACUUGCUCCGGUUCCAGAAAUAGAACCCUAAGCAGAUGAAAGGAGGGGCUGGUAGCAUAAGGGAAGAGCAGGGAAGCGCCAUUUCCUGGGCACUUAGAGGGGGCGUGGCCGGGAUGGCACUUUACAGACCCCACAGCCCCAGGGGUGGGAGCGGGACCAUCACACAGGAUAAAAUGAGCUGAGGCAGCAGAGGCUCUCUGGAACCCUUCUGGCAGAUGCAGAAACUGAGCGUCCAGGGAGGCUGGCCAGCUCUACAUGAGCGCAGGUCUUCGCCUCAAAGCCUGUGUUUGUCCCCCACCCUUCGUGUUAAUUACGGCCAUCCUGGGAACGGGGAGCCACUGGGGCUGGGCAUCAGCACUGAGUGCAGGGGGCUGGAGAGAGGGUGUGGAACAAGCAAGGCUAGGCCCGGCCAGGGUAGGAGGGAGGCCAGCAGCCUGGUUCCCCCUGAAGUGUUUGAGUGAAGUCACUCCAGGGGCGACAUCCUCUCCUGGGCAGGCCUAGGCCACCAGAGAAACAGAACAGGCUGGGUGUGAUUAAAUGGAAUGUGAUGCCUGAUUUUCCCCGCACCCCCCAGGGAGGGGCCCGGGCAAGCCCACUCCUGUCCUCGGGCCGGCCCCAGUUCACCCCGAGGGACCCAGAGCACAGCUCCUGGCUGAGAGGGGGCAAGGGCAGGGGUGGCAUGCACACACCUGGCCAGGCCAGGGGGGAGUACUCCCCCCAACACACCUCCUACCCCCUGCUCCACCCUGGAUGCUAUUCUCCCCUCAGCCAGGGCGCUGGGAGUCCGCUCGGCCCUUCGUCCCUGCCCCUCUAGCCACUCCUGUCGAAAUCCUCUCUGCCCCCCACCAAGCACCUGUGCCAGCCUCUGGUCCACCCAGCCCUCCUCCCACAGCCCCCUCGCCACACCCCACAGCUGGCAGCAGACUCAGAUCCAGCUUUGGGUCACUUCCCCACUCACGGACCCAUAACGGCCCUACUGCUUGGCUCAUCAAGUUCAAGUUCCCCUGCCCAGCUUGUGAACUCCUCCCUCAUCUGGCCACACAUGCCGGGUUCACUCUGACUCCAUUCCUGCACUCAACCAGUUCCACCAGCAUGCCCAGCCAGGGCCACCAACCAAAAUGAGACAGGAUUGUCUGGCCCCACUUCCCCUCCCCCCCAACCCCACCCAGCAAGGGCAGACUGGCCAAAAAUAUUUACCCUGGAUUUGCCCUGGCUCCCAACGGUAACUCACACCAAGGCCCUACCCCCUCUCUGUCUCAGCUCUCCCUCCUCCUCCCCACCUCUCUUCCAUUUGCUCACAUCUUAAACUGGACCUGGAACAGGAGACAGACUUCCUCAACUACCACAGCACAACCUGACUGCUUCUUUCCCUGGCUCCCAAGUACCUCUGGUCAGACCCCCGCCCCCAGGCGGGCACUAAUUCAUUUCCACCUGAUAAAUCUCUCUCUCCCCCAGCCCCCACUAAACGUGGCUCCAGAGGGCAGGGCUCCUGAGGGCAAAGGCCUGACUUUGGCCCCUCCCAGUGGAGGUCCCAGGGGUGGUGGUCAGCACAUUAGUGGAUGCCUUGGCCUCCAGGAACCAUGUCCCUUCACAGCCCAGUCUAAGGGCAGGACCUCCACCAGGACUGCCACCAGGCACUCCUCAGAGCAGGGACCUGCCAUCAGCACCGGCCUCAUACCUAACAGAAUCUCCCAAGAUGGUCACUCAUGGCACACAGUGCUACAAGAUGAAAUUUCAUCAAGAGACUGGCGUCCAAACUGAAGUGACUCCUAGCCACUCUCCUUAACGGAGGGCAAGACGGCAGCACGGGGGCUGAGGGUUCCGCACACUUCUCCGGAACCGAUUAACAUCACAUCCUCUCCUCUUCCGUGAGGCGGCAUGGUGCCUUCUUCCCUCAGAUCCGUCCCUUGGGGAAGUCAUCUGAAAAUCUCAGGGCCACCACCUCACACCCACGAGGAUGGCUGCUAUCAAGAAAACAGAAUUAUUCGCAAUAAUGAAUGUUAAAACAUGGAAACACGGAGGAAGCUCAGAUGUCCGACGGGGGAACGGCUAAGCAAAAUGUGACGCACGUACAAUGGAACAUUAUUCAGCCUUGAAAAGGAAGGACAUUCUGCCAGCACAGCACGGCCUUGAGGACAUCCUGCGAAGUGAAACAAGUCAGUCACAAAAGGACACAUAUUACAUGAUUCCGCUGACAUGAGUCACUUGAGUGGUCAAAUUCACAGAGAUACAAAGCAGAAUGGUGACUGGCAGGGACUGGGGAAGCGGAGGGGGCGUUCUGUUUGAUGGGUAGAGUUUUGUCUUACAAGACGACAAGAGUUCCGGAGACAGAUGGGUGAUGGUUGUACAGGAGUGGAAUACCCACUUAACACCACUGCCUGCGCUCAAAAACGGUGAAGAUGGUGACUCUUACGCUCCGUGUGUUUUACCACAAUAAAGAAAAGAAAAGUCAAAAAAUAUUUUUUCAGGGCCUCACUGGACCAAACAGUGUUAAAGCCCUCUCAUUCCUGUGACUCCAUGCCACCCAACCCCACCCACCUUCUAGAAGGCCUGGCACUGUGGCAGAAAAGAACUUUACAGCCCCAGCAUUAAAACGGCACCUGGCACAAGGCGGGUGCUUGGGAAAUGUCUGUUGGUAGGAUGGAUGGACAGAAAGAUGGAGGGACAGACCCUCCUUUAAAUCUCAGAUCCUUUGGCAAACGGGCUACAUAGGUAGACUGGUGGUUGGUGCUGUUUAGAAAAUAAAAUCCCAGGGGCGCCUGGGUGGCUCAGUCA